CUGGCACUUAGCAGUCAUCUUACCGGACAGUGCUGGACUGUGUAUCUGUUUUCUAACACUGUCUGGUAACGAUGUUUGUUGGGUGACCU
Molecule: microRNA precursor, 89 nt
Organism: Cyprinus carpio carpio
Lineage: Eukaryota; Metazoa; Chordata; Actinopteri; Cypriniformes; Cyprinidae
Source: Ensembl